This 427-nucleotide ribosomal RNA is filed under the name Massilia alkalitolerans. RNAcentral's name for it is "bacterial SSU rRNA". It matches the Rfam family "Bacterial small subunit ribosomal RNA", at positions 353 to 772 of the family's 1533-position model. RNAcentral also lists the same sequence under 1 other name. Lineage: Bacteria; Pseudomonadati; Pseudomonadota; Betaproteobacteria; Burkholderiales; Oxalobacteraceae. The record is from RNAcentral.
AGUGGGGAAUUUUGGACAAUGGGCGCAAGCCUGAUCCAGCAAUGCCGCGUGAGUGAAGAAGGCCUUCGGGUUGUAAAGCUCUUUUGUCAGGGAAGAAACGGUUCCGGCUAAUAUCCGGGGCUAAUGACGGUACCUGAAGAAUAAGCACCGGCUAACUACGUGCCAGCAGCCGCGGUAAUACGUAGGGUGCAAGCGUUAAUCGGAAUUACUGGGCGUAAAGCGUGCGCAGGCGGUUUUGUAAGUCUGUCGUGAAAGCCCCGGGCUCAACCUGGGAAUUGCGAUGGAGACUGCAAGGCUUGAAUCUGGCAGAGGGGGGUAGAAUUCCACGUGUAGCAGUGAAAUGCGUAGAGAUGUGGAGGAACACCGAUGGCGAAGGCAGCCCCCUGGGUCAAGAUUGACGCUCAUGCACGAAAGCGUGGGGAGCAAA